Molecule: ribosomal RNA, 465 nt
Filed under: uncultured Chromatiaceae bacterium
Lineage: Bacteria; Pseudomonadati; Pseudomonadota; Gammaproteobacteria; Chromatiales; Chromatiaceae
Description: bacterial SSU rRNA
Rfam family: Bacterial small subunit ribosomal RNA
Source: RNAcentral
CCUACGGGCGGCUGCAGUGGGGAAUAUUGGACAAUGGGCGCAAGCCUGAUCCAGCAAUGCCGCGUGUGUGAAGAAGGCCUGCGGGUUGUAAAGCACUUUCAGUGGGGAAGAACGGGUCCGGGCCAAUACCCCGGAUCACUGACGUUACCCACAGAAGAAGCACCGGCUAACUCCGUGCCAGCAGCCGCGGUAAUACGGAGGGUGCAAGCGUUAAUCGGAAUCACUGGGCGUAAAGCGCACGUAGGCGGCCCGUUAAGUCAGAUGUGAAACCCCUGGGCUCAACCUGGGAAUGGCAUUUGAUACUAGCGCGCUCGAGUCUGAUAGAGGGGGGUGGAAUUCCAGGUGUAGCGGUGAAAUGCGUAGAUAUCUGGAGGAACACCGGUGGCGAAGGCGGCCCCCUGGAUCAUGACUGACGCUGAGGUGCGAAAGCGUGGGUAGCAAACAGGCUUAGAUACCCCUGUAGUC